GAUGAACGCUGGCGGCGUGCCUAACACAUGCAAGUCGAACGGAGAUUACGGACGGAAGUUUUCGGAUGGAAGACUGUAAUUCUUAGUGGCGGACGGGUGAGUAACGCGUGGGCAACCUGCCCUAUACAGGGGGAUAGCAGCUGGAAACGGCUGGUAAGACCGCAUAAGUCGGCGAGACCGCAUGGUUUUGCCGGGAAAUGAGCAAUCAGGUAUAGGAUGGGCCCGCGUCCGAUUAGCCAGUUGGCAGGGUAAAAGCCUACCAAAGCAACGAUCGGUAGCCGGACUGAGAGGUCGGACGGCCACAUUGGGACUGAGACACGGCCCAAACUCCUACGGGAGACAGCAGUGGGGGAUAUUGCACAAUGGAGGAAACUCUGAUGCAGCGACGCCGCGUGAGUGAAGAAGUAUUUCGGUAUGUAAAGCUCUAUCAGCAGGGAAGAUGAUGACGGUACCUGACUAAGAAGCCCCGGCUAACUACGUG
This 481-nucleotide ribosomal RNA is filed under the name uncultured bacterium. RNAcentral describes it as "partial 16S ribosomal RNA". It matches the Rfam family "Bacterial small subunit ribosomal RNA", at positions 28 to 507 of the family's 1533-position model. The record is from RNAcentral.